UCCGGGCGUUCGCUUGACAAGAUGGCGGCGGCGGGGUGGUGGCUGCCGCAUUUUCGUGUCUGAGUCCUUCCCGGGUUCUAAGGCGGGCGCGGUUCUGCUGUGCCCGGCCCGCGAGGUCUAAGGCAUGGGCUUCCAGCCUCCGGCCGCUCUUCUUUUGAGGCUUCUCCUUCUGCAGGGCGUCCUGAGGCUGCUGUGGGGGGACCUGGCUUUCAUCCCUCCUUUCAUCCGAAUGUCCGGCCCUGCGGUCGGCGCGUCCCUGGUCGGAGACACCGAGGGUGUGACCGUGUCCCUGGCAGUGCUGCAGGACGAGGCGGGAAUAUUGCCAGUUCCGACGUGUGGAGUGCUGAGCAAUGAGACGGAAGACUGGAGUGUGACUGUGACCCCCGGUGCGAAGGUGUUGGAAGUGACAGUAAGGUGGAAGAGAGGUCUGGACUGGUGUUCCUCCAAUGAGACAGAGUCCUUCUCAGAGUCCCCCUGUAUCCUCCAGACCCUUCUGGUUUCAGCAUCUCGUAAUUCAUCCUGUUUAGCACAUCUACUCAUUCAAGUGGAAAUUUAUGCCAACUCUUCUCUGACCCAUAAUGCUUCAGAGAACGUGACUGUCAUUCCUAACCAGGUGUAUCAGCCCCUUGGCCUUUGUCCUUGUAAUUUAACAGCUGGAGCCUGUGAUGUUCGCUGCUGCUGUGACCAGGAAUGCUCAUCAAAUUUAACAGAGCUGUUCAGACGGUCCUGCUUCACUGGUGUGUUUGGAGGAGAUGUCAAUCCUCCUUUUGAUCAGCUCUGCUCUGCUGGGAUGACGACACGUGGUGUCCCUGAUUGGUUUCCCUUUCUGUGUGUGCAGUCGCCCCUUGCCAACACACCCUUCCUUGGUUACUUCUAUCAUGGUGCCGUUUCCCCCAAACAGGACUCUUCCUUUGAAGUAUAUGUGGAUACUGAUGCAAAAGACUUUGCAGACUUUGGUUACAAACAAGGAGAUCCCAUUGUGACUGUAAAGAAGGCAUAUUUUACUGUCCCGCAGGUGUCCCUGGCUGGGCAGUGUAUGCAGAACGCCCCAGUGGCAUUUCUUCACAAUUUUGAUGUGAAAUGCGUUACUAAUUUGGAACUAUACCAAGAACGAGAUGGUAUUAUCAAUGCGAAGAUAAAGAAUAUUGCCUUAGGAGGCAUAGUUACACCAAAAGUAAUCUAUGAGGAAGCAACUGACCUAGACAAAUUCAUCACCAAUACAGAAACUCCUUUAAAUAACGGAUCAGCCCCCAGAAUUGUGAAUGUGGAAGAACAUUAUAUUUUCAAAUGGAAUAAUAAUACCAUCAGUGAAAUAAAUGUUAAAAUUAUUAGGGCAGAGAUUAAUGCCCACCAGAAAGGGAUAAUGACACAGAGAUUUGUAGUAAAAUUUUUAAGCUAUAAUAGUGGUAAUGAAGAAGAAUUAUCUGGAAAUCCAGGUUACCAACUUGGCAAGCCUGUCCGAGCUCUAAAUAGCAACAGGAUGAAUACUGUCACGACUUUACAUCUUUGGCAAUCGGCUGGAAGGGGUCUGUGUACAUCAGCAACUUUCAAACCCAUUUUAUUUGGAGAAAAUGUACUCUCUGGAUGCCUGUUAGAAGUCGGGAUUAAUGAAAAUUGUACUCAGCUCAGGGAGAAUGCUGUUGAAAGACUUGAUUCAUUAAUACAAGUGACUCAUGUUGCAAUGAGAGGCAACUCCGAUUAUGCUGAUCUUAGUGAUGGCUGGCUCGAAAUAAUACGGUUUCAUUCUGUCACCCAGGCUGGAGUGCAGUGGUACAGUCACAGCUCAUUGCAGCCUCAUACUCCCAGGCUCAAGGGAUCCUCUCGCCUCAGCCUUCCAAGUAGCUGGCACCACAGGUGUGUGCCACCACAUCUGGCUAAUUUUUUGUAUUAUUUGUAGAAAUGGGUUUCGCCAUGUUGCCCAGGCUGGUCAUUAACUCCUGGGCUUAAGUGAUCUGCCCACCCCAGCCUCUUAAAGUAUUGGGAUUACAGGCAUGAGCCCCUGUGCCUGGCCAACAACCGUCUUUGUGAAAGAAAGUCUAGGCUGGGAGCAGUGGCUGACGCCUAUAAUCCCAGCGCUUUGGGAGGCCAAUGCAAGAGGAUUGCUUGAGGCCAGGAGUUUUUGUUUUGUUUUGUUUUGUUUUGUUUUUGAGACGGAGUCUUGCUCUUGUCACCCAUGCUGGAGUGGAAUGGCACAAUCUCGGCUCACUGCAACCUCUGCCUCCUGGGUUCAGGUGAUUCUCCUGCCUCAGCCUCCCGAGUAGCUGGGAUUACAGGUGCCCACCACCACGCCUGGCUAAUUUUUGUAUUUUUAAAAUAGAGAUGGGGUUUCACCAUGUUGGCCAGGCUGGUCUUGAACUCCUGACCUUGUGAUCCACCUGCCUCAGCCUCCCAAAGUGCUGGGAUUAUAGGCGUUAGCCACCGUGCCCGGCUGAGGCCAGGAGCUUAAGACCAGCCUGGGCAACAUAGUGAGACCUUGUCUCUACGAAAAAUUUAAAAAAUUAGUCGGAUGUGGUGGCAUGUCCCUGCAGUCCCAGCUACUUGGGAUGCUGAGGAAAGAGGAUCGCUGGAGCCUAGGAGUUUGAGGCUACAGUGAGCUCUGAUUACACCACCACACUCCAACCUGGAUGACAGAGCAAGAUCCUGACUCUAAAAAUAAAACAAAAUAAAAUAAAAUACAUUAAAACAAAGUCCAAGCAAGGUUUGAAGAGUUUUAGUGCACUUCCAUUUGCAUUGCUGUUUUUGAUUGCCAGGAAUACAGGCAUUUGAGAAUUGACUUUGGAAUUUAUAAAGGUAAUUUUGUUAACUUAAAAGAAAAUAAAGUGAUUGAAAAUAUUGUGAUAGAAGCCAGACACAAAAGACCACGUAUUGUAUGACUCAAUUUAUAUGCAGUGUCCAGAACGGGCAAUGUAUAGAGACAGCAGAUUAGUGGAUGCCGGAGGUGGAGGAGUUGGGAGGAAAUGUGGAGAGACUGCCGUGGGUAAAGGAUUUCUUCGCAGAGUGAUAAAAUGUUCUAAAAUAGAAUCUGCUGAUUGUUACACAGCUUUGUGACUAUACCAGAAACCAUCGAAUUGCACACUUUAAGUGGGUGGAUUGUAUAGUAUGUGAACUAUAUCUCAAUAAAGCUGUCAAGAAAGAAAGUAAUUAAGGUGCAACGGAUUGGCCGGGCUCGGUGGCUCACGCCUGUAAUCCCAGCACUUUGGGAGGCCGAGGUGGGUGGAUCACGAGGUCAGGAGAUCGAGAUCAUCCUGGCUAACACAGGUGAAACCCCAUCUCUACUAAAAAUAUAUAAAAAAAAAAAAUUAGCUGGGCGUAGUGGCAGGCGCCUGUAGUCCCAGCUACUCAGGAGGCUGAGGCAGGAGAAUGGCGGGAACCCGGGAGGCGGAGCUUGAGCCGAGAUUGCGCCACUGCACUCCAGCCUGGGCGACAGAGCGAGACUCCGUCUCACAAAAAAAAAAAAAAAAAAAAAAAAAAGGUGCAACAGAUCUAAUAAUAGCAGGGAUCAUGGGGAUGGGGGCCAGAUAGAAAGACUUGACAGCCCAGUGCCUUUGGCCAAAGGUAUUUGCAGUAUUGAAUUGGCAAGUAGAUCAUACACAAAGGGAAGAAGAUGUACCACAUGUACAUGGAAUAAAGGUAAACCAGACUUUAAAGCUUCUUCACCAGGCCCGAUUUCACUUCCGAAUCCAAAAUGUCCUUUGAAUCAUGGAGAUCCAGCUCAUUGGGUUAUGUUGCAGAGGCCCAAGGUCACAGUGAGUUUUGGCAGAGCUAGAAUGAAAACCUGGAAUUCCAACCUCUUUCCUCUGUUCCCUGGUAGCAAGUUAGGUAACUUCCCGGUUUCUUGGGGAGUCUUGGGUGUGUAAAUACUUUGAAUAGAAAGCUUUUUUUAUUGAGCUAAUUAAUGGAAUUGCCUUUUGGGACCAGAAAGAGCCCAAUGAGUGUGCACAUCUGCUUUGCCCCUGCCCUGCUCUCCCUGCAGAUGCUGCUCUGCCCCUCUCCUCUGCCUGGUGGGUAGGGAUCAGCCCUCUGGAUCCUGCCCUCGCCCUUUCCAUCCCCUCUGAGGUCAGCUAGGCUCAGUGGGCUGGAAUUCACACAACAGCCCAUACAGACACACACCUGUAUUGUGCCCACUCCUUGUGAUUGGGGUCAUGGUGAUGAGGACCCUCCCUUCCCCCUCUGUGGUCAUGGAUCAUGUGAUAUGUCUGUGAGCUUGAGGUGCCCCAGACCACUCUCUGACUUGGGUAGGGAGUCCUGUUGGACCCCCACCCCCACGGGGCACUCAGGCUGCUGUUUGCUUAUCUAGCUGGUGCUCAAGGCACUGGGCUCAGACCUAGAUCCUCAUUUGCAAACGGAACCCAGAGGUCGAGCUUGUCAAGCCCUGGGCUCUGCCACCCAGGCCAGCUAGAUAGGCUGUGGAAUGACCCUGAGGGCUGGAGAAAAGUCAGCACUUGGGAAAUAAAUGGUAGGGAAAAUGUCCAGACGGAGAACCCAGGUUGAUGAGGUAUGAAAUCAGUGUGGUGAUGACAUUUUGUUGCCUUCAAGGUGAAAGGGGUUAGCUUUUAUUUCAUGUCUGAGCCAAAAAGCAAUCUUGAUCCUGGUUAAUAAACAGAAGUGGUGUUGACACAUGUAUAAGGAAAUUAGACAUAAAACAGUGUUACUGACCUUCGGAAUCCCUGAAGGAGCAAAGAACCCCCUUCAGAGGAGCCGUAGAACCUACCCUACUUCCUCUCAUUGACCUUGCUGGGUUUUCUCCAAGAUAAAUGCAAAUUCAUUUCUCAUUCAAUUUCAUUCUCUUCCAGUUGUAUUAAUACUAUGGUAACACAUUAGGAAAUUACUUACCUAUCUAAUACAUACUAAUUAAAGUUGCUAGUAUGGAUUUUGUUUUAUUAUUAUUAUUUUUUCAAUUAUUAUCAUUAUUUUUUUUUGAGAUGGAGUCUCACUUUGUUGCCCAGGCUGGAGUGCAGUGGCAUGAUCUCGGCUCACUGCAACCUCCACCUCCCAGGUUCAAGUGAUUCUCCUGCCUCAGCCUCCCAAGUAGCUGGGAUUACAGGCAUGUGCCACCAUGCCUGGCCAAUUUUUAUAUUUUUAGUAGAGACAGAGUUUCACUAUGUUGGCCAGGCUGGUCUUGAACUCCUGACCUCAGGUCAUCCACCCACCUCAGCCUCCCAAGGUGCUGGGAUUACAGGCGUGAACCACCAUGCCCAACUGAUUUUUAUUUUUAUUUUUUGAGAUGAGGUUCUCACUCUUGUCCAGGCUGGAGUGUAGUGGCGCCAUGCCAUCGUGGCUCACCGCAGCCUCGACUUCCCAGGCUGAAGCAAUCCUCUCACCUCAGCCUUCUGGGUAGCUGGUGUGUGCUACAGGUGUGUGCCACCAUGCCUGGCUAUUUUAUUUUUCUCGAGAAGACAGGGUUUUGCCAUGUUGCCCAGGCUGGUCCCAAACUCCUGGGCUCAAGCAGUGCUUCUACCUCGACCUCCCAAAGUGCUAGGAUUAUCGGCAUGAGCCACUGUGCCUGGCCUAAAGUUGUUAGUAUGGAUUUUAAAUGUCUUACACAGCUUUUACUAGAACUGUGACUGCAUGGAAUAACGAUGGCAUUUUACUGCAAUUAUAUAUGUUUCUGUUAAAAGGCUGGGUAGAUUUCAGUGGGAGCUUGGAAACUGAAUCAUGAUUUAUGGCUUUAAUAUGUGGGUCAGGGCUUUUGAGUUCUAGUGACUGGCUAACAUACAAGGAAACUUUUUUUUUUUUUUGAGACGGAGUCUCACUCUGUCACCAGGCUGCAGUGCAGUGGCGUGAUCUUGGCUCACUGCAAGCUCCGCCUCCCAGGUUCACGCCAUUCUCCUGCCUCAGCCUCCCAAGUAACUGGGACUACAGGUGUAGAUGCCCCUGAUCCAGGUGCAGACCAGCUGGCUAGCAGUGUGAACGGCAUGUGCC
This is an RNA transcript of Symphalangus syndactylus (siamang), 5922 nucleotides long. It is a transcript of the gene named tectonic family member 2, with no coding region annotated. The record is from RefSeq and is a predicted model, not a curated record. Lineage: Eukaryota; Metazoa; Chordata; Mammalia; Primates; Hylobatidae.